RNAcentral lists this long non-coding RNA (762 nucleotides) under Numida meleagris (helmeted guineafowl). RNAcentral's name for it is "lncRNA (ENSNMEG00000009054.1)". The record is from RNAcentral. Lineage: Eukaryota; Metazoa; Chordata; Aves; Galliformes; Numididae.
AACCAGAAAAAGCGUUUUUAUUUUUUGGAUUCCUAACAAUGUUGUACUUUUUCCGUUCUAGCAGAAGUCUGGAACUUCUGAAGCUGAAAUGCACAAAGAGAAAGAGAAGAUGAGACUAGAUGACGAUUAUAACUUCUUAUGGCUUCAGUGAGAAGACACAAAGAGCAGAAUAAAGUUCCUCCAUAGAUACAGUCCAGGAGUGCCUUGUGAGAACUGCCAAACCUUAUACAUCUUUGAGGUGGGAAAGAGGGGAAGAGAAAUGGCAUUUGACAAAAGGAUCACUCUGGAGACUCUGUGAAUCACAGCAUCUACAGGGAGGACCAGGGAUGGAGAAAGUGGCAGAUCAGAAGAUGCUGGAAUUGGUGAAAGGGAGCUCAACACAGGAAAGGAGGCAACUCAAGGAGGAAAAGCAUUACAGUAUUUUGUAGGAACAUCAGGGAAGAAGCUGGAAAAUCUGGAGGAAGCUGGAGAAUGUUGAGUCUAAGCUGAGGAAGAAGAGACACUGCAGAAAAACAAAUGCUUUCUGAGGUGAGGAGAACUUACUGACCUGUUUAUUUUUACAUCCACGAGGAAUAUGAUGCUACUGCUGUCACUGCUACUUUUGGUACUGACAUGAUACAGUAGUAAUGGGAGCAAAAGUAGGUGUCAGACUUGAAACAAAACAAAGAACACAACAGCUUUCAUUCAUAUCUCUAGAGUCCCCAGCAAGCAAAACUAUUUUGUUAAUAUUUUAUUGUUAUUAGUCAUAAGUUCAGCAAGGGA